AAAAGCAUGGAGGCAUGACACAGCACGCUGUGUGCAGGGAAUCAUGGUUAAUUUUGUAGGAAAUCUCCAGAGUGGUGCCAGAGAUAUUCCUGGAAAGGUUGCCUGGAACUAGAUCAUGGAAGACUCUGAGAUUUGCCCACCUGAUGACCUUGCCAGCUUGCCAUCAUGCAAAGAAAAUCCUGAAGAUGUUCUGAGCCCAACUUCAGUAGCUACUUACCUGAGUUCCAAGAGUCAGCCUUCUGCUAAAGUCAGUGUGAUGGGGACUGAUCAGUCAGAGAGCAUUAAUACCUCAAAUGAGACAGAAUACUUAAAACAGAAAAUCCAUGACUUGGAAACUGAGCUGGAAGGCUACCAGAAUUUCAUAUUUCAGCUUCAAAAGCACUCCCAGUGCAGUGAGGCCAUUAUUACAGUUUUGUGUGGGACAGAAGGGGCCCAGGAUGGCUUGAGCAAGCCCAAGAGUGGUUCUGAUGAGGAAGAAAUGACCUUUUCAAGUUUGCACCAAGUGCGAUACGUGAAACACAUGAAAAUCCUCCGUCCACUGGCCCCAGAGAUGAUUGACGGCAGGAUGCUGGAGAAC
RNAcentral lists this small RNA (577 nucleotides) under Pongo abelii (Sumatran orangutan). Its description in RNAcentral is "processed transcript". The record is from RNAcentral. Lineage: Eukaryota; Metazoa; Chordata; Mammalia; Primates; Hominidae.